CUACGUGCCAGCAGCCGCGGUAAUACGGAAGGUCCAGGCGUUAUCCGGAUUUAUUGGGUUUAAAGGGAGCGUAGGCUGGAGAUUAAGUGUGUUGUGAAAUGUAGACGCUCAACGUCUGAAUUGCAGCGCAUACUGGUUUCCUUGAGUACGCACAACGUUGGCGGAAUUCGUCGUGUAGCGGUGAAAUGCUUAGAUAUGACGAAGAACUCCGAUUGCGAAGGCAGCUGACGGGAGCGCAACUGACGCUUAAGCUCGAAGGUGCGGGUAUCGAACAGGAUUAGAUACCCUGGUAGUCCGCACAGUAAACGAUGGAUGCCCGCUGUUGGUACCUGGUAUCAGCGGCUAAGCGAAAGCAUUAAGCAUCCCACCUGGGGAGUACGCCGGCAACGGUGAAACUCAAAGGAAUUGACGGGGGCCCGCACAAGCGGAGGAACAUGUGGUUUAAUUCGAUGAUACGCGAGGAACCUUACCCGGGCUUGAAUUGCAGAGGAAGGAUUUAGAGAUA
This 505-nucleotide ribosomal RNA is filed under the name uncultured bacterium. RNAcentral describes it as "bacterial SSU rRNA". It matches the Rfam family "Bacterial small subunit ribosomal RNA", at positions 501 to 1008 of the family's 1533-position model. The record is from RNAcentral.